CGGAAGGAUUAUAUCGAAGAGUCGAAUGAUAGGGUAACGCCUUGAAAGGCUCUCUCUGCGUCGAAUAGCACGACAUUGAGUAAGAAGUUUCGUGUUAUAAGCUCGGCAAAUAGGCGUGAGAAUUUACCGUAACAGUAUCGGCUGACGAAAACCUUACCCGAGGGGGCGGUGUAAAUUAUGAUGCUUGAGUUGAACAA
Non-coding RNA from Bacillus mycoides Rock3-17, 197 nucleotides. NCBI's taxonomy places the organism in Bacteria, Bacillati, Bacillota, Bacilli, Caryophanales, Bacillaceae. The record is from Rfam.